This 430-nucleotide ribosomal RNA is filed under the name uncultured bacterium. RNAcentral's name for it is "bacterial SSU rRNA". It matches the Rfam family "Bacterial small subunit ribosomal RNA", at positions 29 to 507 of the family's 1533-position model. The record is from RNAcentral.
AACGAACGCUGGCGGCAGGCCUAACACAUGCAAGUCGAACGGGAUCUUCGGAUCUAGUGGCGACGGGUUGUAACGCGUGGGAACGUACCCUUUCUACGGAAUAGCCUCGGGAAACUGAGAGUAAUACCGUAUACGCCCUUCGGGGGAAAGAUUUAUCGGAGAAGGAUCGGCCCGCGUAAGAUUAGAUAGUUGGUGGGGUAAUGGCCUACCAAGUCUACGAUCUUUAGCUGGUUUGAGAGGAUGAUCAGCAACACUGGGACUGAGACACGGCCCAGACUCCUACGGGAGGCAGCAGUGGGGAAUCUUAGACAAUGGGGGAAACCCUGAUCCAGCCAUGCCGCGUGAGUGACGAAGGCCUUAGGGUCGUAAAGCUCUUUCGCUGGGGAAGAUAAUGACUGUACCCCGUAAAGAAACCCCGGCUAACUCCGUG